Cerrena zonata is the source of this 80-nucleotide non-coding RNA. The record is from the annotation of a GenBank genome assembly. NCBI's taxonomy places the organism in Eukaryota, Fungi, Basidiomycota, Agaricomycetes, Polyporales, Cerrenaceae.
GCCCGCUUAGCUCAGUGGUAGAGCGCGCCACUCGUAUCAGUGAUAUGGUGAGGUCGGUUGUUCAAUCCAGCCAGUGGGCA